ACACUAUUUAUGUAGGUAAUAAAUCAUAGAUUGCACACUUCUGGUUUCAAUAAUAUUCGGUGACUCCAGCUCUAACUGUAAAACGUAACACUGCACACAAAAAACUGGUUCUCCUCUGACGUUCAUUCAUGCACAUUAAAACACCGCACUCGAUGUCCGAAAAUCAAUUUCAAUUCAAUUGCGAAAAAUUCCUGGAAAUUACGUCGCAGCCGUUAAUGUGUGUAUGGUUUUUUUUUCGGGCUUUUCUGAUAUUCUCAGCAAUUUCGAUUCCCACUGAAAUCGUAUACGAAACAUUCAAAACAAAACAAUGCCCCGUCCAGGGUCUGGAGGAAAAAGACGCGACAACGACGAAAGAUACGGAAAGACUGAAGCGAACUUAACUCACCUGAGCUCAGAGCUGAGCUACCUGUCAGGUAGUUAAUGUGCAUGUGUAUGCGGUUGUGUGUGUGUGAGUGGUGUGUGGACAUUGAGUGAGCAGAGCGGGCGUUCGUGUACAUGAACCGUUUUACAACCUGAUACGCCGCUGCAACACGUGUAACCGGCACACAGUAUCUGUCUGCUACACAAGUGCUCAAGUAUCUGAUCUGGCGACUAGUAGCUGCGUUAAUAUCAGCGAAACAUGCAAACUCUGUGCCAGCAAAUAUCCUCACACAUCAAAAUUAAUGCUCGAACAAGCUACACACUAAUAUACAAAUAAAUACAUACAAUACAUACAUACA
Molecule: long non-coding RNA, 719 nt
Organism: Drosophila grimshawi
Lineage: Eukaryota; Metazoa; Arthropoda; Insecta; Diptera; Drosophilidae
Exons: 2
Source: RefSeq, a predicted model, not a curated record